CAGUCGCCGCGGUAAAACGUAGGGUGCAAGCGUUAAUCGGAAUUACUGGGCGUAAAGCGUGCGCAGGCGGUGUUGUAAGACUGAUGUGAAAUCCCCGGGCUCAACCUGGGAACUGCAUUGGUGACUGCAACGCUGGAGUGCGGCAGAGGGGGAUGGAAUUCCGCGUGUAGCAGUGAAAUGCGUAGAUAUGCGGAGGAACACCGAUGGCGAAGGCAACCCCCUGGGCCUGCACUGACGCUCAUGCACGAAAGCGUGGGGAGCAAACAGGAUUAGAUACCCCCGUAGUCCCUGUCUCUUAUAC
RNAcentral lists this ribosomal RNA (301 nucleotides) under uncultured bacterium. Its description in RNAcentral is "partial 16S ribosomal RNA". It matches the Rfam family "Bacterial small subunit ribosomal RNA", at positions 509 to 807 of the family's 1533-position model. The record is from RNAcentral.